RNAcentral lists this ribosomal RNA (606 nucleotides) under uncultured bacterium. RNAcentral describes it as "bacterial SSU rRNA". It matches the Rfam family "Bacterial small subunit ribosomal RNA", at positions 99 to 719 of the family's 1533-position model. The record is from RNAcentral.
CGGACGGGUGAGUAACGCGUAAGGAACUUGCCUCUUGGUCUGGGACAACUGUUGGAAACGACAGCUAAUACCGGAUAUUAUGAGAUUCUCGCAUGGGAAACUUAUGAAAGCUAUAUGCGCCAAGAGAGAGCCUUGCGUUCCAUUAGCUAGUUGGUGGGGUAACGGCCCACCAAGGCGACGAUGGAUAGCCGGCCUGAGAGGGUGAACGGCCACAAGGGGACUGAGACACGGCCCUUACUCCUACGGGAGGCAGCAGUGGGGAAUAUUGGACAAUGGGCCACAAGCCUGAUCCAGCAAUUCUGUGUGCACGAUGAAGGUCUUCGGAUUGUAAAGUGCUUUCAGUUGGGAAGAAGAAAGUGACGGUACCAACAGAAGAAGCGACGGCUAAAUACGUGCCAGCAGCCGCGGUAAUACGUAUGUCGCAAGCGUUAUCCGGAUUUAUUGGGCGUAAAGCGCGUCUAGGCGGAAAAAUAAGUCUGAUGUUAAAAUGCGGGGCUCAACUCCGUAUUGCGUUGGAAACUGUUUUUCUAGAGUACUGGAGAGGUGGGCGGAACUACAAGUGUAGAGGUGAAAUUCGUAGAUAUUUGUAGGAAUGCCGAUGGAGAA